Molecule: ribosomal RNA, 325 nt
Filed under: uncultured eukaryote
Lineage: Eukaryota
Description: partial 18S ribosomal RNA
Rfam family: Eukaryotic small subunit ribosomal RNA
Source: RNAcentral
CCCUUAGAUGUUCUGGGCCGCACGCGCGCUACACUGAUUCAUUCAACAAGUUUUACCUUGGCCGAGAGGCCUGGGAAAUCUUUCAAAUAUGUAUCGUGAUAGGGAUAGAUUAUUGCAAUUAUUAAUCUUGAACGAGGAAUUCCUAGUAAAUGCAGAUCAUCAUUCUGCGUUGAUUACGUCCCUGCCCUUUGUACACACCGCCCGUCGCACCUACCGAUUGAAUGAUCCGGUGAAGCCUCGGGAUUGUGCCCAGAGAACUUUAUUGUGAUUUGGGUGUGAGAACUUGUCUAAACCUUAUCAUUUAGAGGAAGGUGAAGUCGUAACA